Phrynosoma platyrhinos (Desert horned lizard) is the source of this 73-nucleotide non-coding RNA. NCBI's taxonomy places the organism in Eukaryota, Metazoa, Chordata, Lepidosauria, Squamata, Phrynosomatidae. The record is from the annotation of a GenBank genome assembly.
GUCAAGAUGGUGUAGUGGUUUGGGUGUUUGAUUUGGACUCAAGGAGACCAUGAUUCAAAUUCCUGCUUGGGCA